This 253-nucleotide ribosomal RNA is filed under the name uncultured bacterium. Its description in RNAcentral is "partial 16S ribosomal RNA". It matches the Rfam family "Bacterial small subunit ribosomal RNA", at positions 524 to 776 of the family's 1533-position model. The record is from RNAcentral.
UACGGGGGGGGUAAGCGUUGUUCGGAAUUACUGGGCGUAAAGGGCUCGUAGGCGGUCCGUCACGUCGGGAGUGAAAACUCAGGGCUCAACCCUGAGCGUGCUUCCGAUACGGGCGGACUAGAGGUAUGCAGGGGAGAACGGAAUUCCUGGUGUAGCGGUGGAAUGCGCAGAUAUCAGGAGGAACACCGGUGGCGAAGGCGGGUCUCUGGGCAGUAACUGACGCUGAGGAGCGAAAGCGUGGGGGGCGGACAGG